GGAGUACUGGUUAGUAAUGAUGACUUUGUGGUUGGUUGGAGGGGACCUCAUUCUGGUGUUAACUUUCUUGUGGAUCCAUUCAAUGGGAAAUGCAAAAUACUUUUCACAAGGGAUACUGCUUUCUGUUUCAAGGGUGAAGGAAAGCAUGCAGUUAUAAAGUGCAAUUUCAAGAUUGAGUUUUUGCUGAGGGAAAUCAAUGAGAUAAACGAAUGCAAAGAC
This 219-nucleotide unclassified non-coding RNA is filed under the name Hevea brasiliensis (rubber tree). Lineage: Eukaryota; Viridiplantae; Streptophyta; Magnoliopsida; Malpighiales; Euphorbiaceae. The record is from RNAcentral.